This is a long non-coding RNA of Triticum aestivum (bread wheat), 2092 nucleotides long. RefSeq lists it as uncharacterized. The transcript is spliced from 2 exons. The record is from RefSeq and is a predicted model, not a curated record. NCBI's taxonomy places the organism in Eukaryota, Viridiplantae, Streptophyta, Magnoliopsida, Poales, Poaceae.
UCUGCGAUUGGAAGAAAGGCCCAUCCCUCGCUGUAAAUUUACAUCAGGGGCGAGGUAAUUUUACCUUUUAUGCGUUUACUCAGAACACAGCCCACCUCUCCGUCCUUUUUAGAAAGCUGCGAACGGUUUUGGGACUAACGACGGCGAACGGCGGCGUGGUGCUCAACGUUGCCAGGUUGGCUAGGUCUUGGGCGGCGCCCGUGGUUGGUGAUGGCGGUGCAGGCUUAGCGGCGUGGUACUCGGUGGCAGUUGGUGGCCUCGGCGGUGCGGUGAGCUCUCUGGUUCCUCGGUGACGGGCAACGCAGCGGGUUAUAUCGACUGCGACCGCUUCGUGCUCUGCUCCGGCCACGACGGCGCCGCUCCAUCUCGCGAACUAUGACGGCAUCACGCCUGCUGUGGCUUAAGAUGAGCUCAAGCCUGAAUCCUUUAGUUUAGAUCGUAUUACUUUUCUCAGAUUCCGUGGUCCAGUUUUGGUUUGCGUUGCUCCAAACCUAGCACUUGCAGUUGCUUGUUUCAGAAAUCCAAGUUAUAUGUCAGAUUUCGGCCGUCGAGGUAAAUCCUUCCAGCUGAUGCAUAUUAUCAUUAUGUGCUUAAUUACUACAUGUGCAGUCGUCUCAUAAUUAUUGCGACCGUAAUUUUUAUGGAGUUUUCCUCUAUUCAGCCUUUUUAAUUUCCUUCAGAAAUACAUUCAGCUUGUUUGGGAGGGUACACUUAUAAGGAUUUGUGUAUAAAAGGUUAAUGUUCUAAAGACGCUCUUGCUGCAAUACAACGUUGGCAUGUAAUGUGCUUAGCUAUAUUACUAACCAAUGACUAGUUAUGCAUCUUUUCAUGUGAAAAAAAGAGAAAAACAUGGCUUACUUUCUGCAUGCGUGUGGCCAAGGCAUAAUUUCUGAUCCAUCAUAGAAUGGAUAUUUUUUCUUCUAAUCAUGUGAGGCGCCUUUGUUGCUACCAAAAUAGAAUACAUAUAUCAACCAUUUACUACUAAAACAAUAAUCAUAUUUAUCGACUUUCUACUUUGUACUGAAGCUUACCAAUUUAACAUCUGUUUUGGUACAUUCUUGAAACAAACGUAAUUUUAUGUUUCUUGCCCAGCCAUUGUUUCUAUACGGAUCCAUAUCAACAUUUUUUAAUUCAGAUUCAUAUAAACUGUAAGGCAUUGCUUUUGGUCUUCUUUAACAUGUUUUCUUGUCUUUCAGAGGAAUCCACUCAAAUAUGACUUAUUUGUUUCCUUUCACCUUUUACUACUCUACACUGCCAGAUUUAUUUAUUUUCCAUUUUUUACUUAUUUAUCUACAGAUUAUCUGCAUGAUUUUCCAUCAGUUGCAUAACCAGUCUUCUGUUGAGUAUUUUGAUUUUGUCAUUGGGUAGCUGCAAGCGAGUCGUUACUGCUGAAACUCUACCUAGAAUCUAUAUUGUUUUGGCAGGCAAUGGUACCCAGGUAGAUGGACUAGCUGCUUGCUCCGUGCCCGUUCUAGUGCACGCUACAUCAUAUAUAGAUGUACUCCCUCCGUUCGGAAUUACUUGUCUCGGAAAUGGAUGUAUCUAAAUCUAAAAUACGUCUAGAUACGUUCAUUUCUGCGACAAGUAAUUCCGAACGGAGGGAGUACAUAGUUCAGGGAAUGAGAAGUCAAUACAUGCAGGACCGAAUCUGGAGGUAGGCACCAAGACCCAAUAAAGAACAACUCCUGAUGGGUUGUAAUCCAUCGCCUCCUCCAGCAACUCCUGCUGAUCAGCAGUAAUGAGCAGCCACGGCGGAGGAAGCCCCAACAAAUGGAAUGGCGCUUCAACCACACUUUGUGACGUGCAAGUGUCAGCCGCCUGCAAAAUGAUGCUCUUGGCACAGAACUGUGAAAAUUAGAGCUUUUGGGGGGUUCCUGGGUUAGUAGUGUUGCGCUUUUGAUCCGUUCCAUCUCUUAGUGUGGUGAAUUUAAUGAUUUUUAGCCAUUAAAAUAUAUCAGAACGAAUUAUGAUGCAUUUGAUUGUGUCAAUUACAUGGGGACUGCAGAGUAGUAUGAGUAUCAUUAGUGUAAUUUGUACAGCAAAAAUAGUUCGUAUCGUCAAGACAAUGUACUUACAUGUUAACUCCCUCUCA